This 388-nucleotide ribosomal RNA is filed under the name uncultured bacterium. RNAcentral's name for it is "bacterial SSU rRNA". It matches the Rfam family "Bacterial small subunit ribosomal RNA", at positions 30 to 420 of the family's 1533-position model. The record is from RNAcentral.
AUUGAACGCUGGCGGCAUGCCUCACACAUGCAAGUCGAACGGCAGCGGACCUUCGGGUGCCGGCGAGUGGCGAACGGGUGAGUAAUAUAUCGGAACGUACCUUUCAGUGGGGGAUAACGUAGCGAAAGUUACGCUAAUACCGCAUAUUCUGUGAGCAGGAAAGCAGGGGAUCGCAAGACCUUGCGCUGAUUGAGCGGCCGAUAUCAGAUUAGCUAGUUGGUGAGGUAAAGGCUCACCAAGGCGAUGAUCUGUAGCGGGUCUGAGAGGAUGAUCCGCCACACUGGAACUGAGACACGGUCCAGACUCCUACGGGAGGCAGCAGUGGGGAAUUUUGGACAAUGGGCGCAAGCCUGAUCCAGCCAUGCCGCGUGAGUGAAGAAGGCCUCGG